CCCUUAGAUGUUCUGGGCCGCACGCGCGCUACACUGAUGCAUUCAACGAGUCUAAAACCUGGUCUGAUAGGGCUGGGUAAUCUUUUGAAUGUGCAUCGUGAUUGGGAUAGAUGAUUGCAAUUCUUCAUCUUCAACGAGGAAUGCCUAGUAAACGCAAGUCAUCAGCUUGCAUUGAUUACGUCCCUGCCCUUUGUACACACCGCCCGUCGCUCCUACCGAUUGAAUGCUCAGGUGAGCCAUUCGGACUUUCAUCAUGCUGGUUUCCAGUUUUGAUGAAGGAAAGUCUUGCGAACCUUAUCAUUUAGAGGAAGGAGAAGUCGUAACA
This 325-nucleotide ribosomal RNA is filed under the name uncultured eukaryote. RNAcentral's name for it is "partial 18S ribosomal RNA". It matches the Rfam family "Eukaryotic small subunit ribosomal RNA", at positions 1470 to 1796 of the family's 1831-position model. The record is from RNAcentral.